Molecule: ribosomal RNA, 910 nt
Filed under: Olla millepunctata
Lineage: Eukaryota; Fungi; Ascomycota; Leotiomycetes; Helotiales; Hyaloscyphaceae
Description: SSU rRNA
Rfam family: Bacterial small subunit ribosomal RNA (bases 150-910)
Source: RNAcentral
GUCAAUAGCCUAACGGCUGAACCAGCAACUUGGGGGAAUGAAUAGCUUCGGCUAAUUACACUUGGCUGUCUAGUUUAUAAUAUUUAUUAUAAAUUAUUCAUUUUUCCACUUUUUGAGGUUUAUACUACUAAUCAUAGUAUAGUAAUAAUUAAUUUGCUACUUUUAUAUUAAGAGAAUUUAUUCUCGUAGACAAGUGUAAGAUCGAUUUUAUCGAGUAAAGUUCUAGAAGGUAUAUUUUGAUUAUGACAUAGUUACCAUCUAUAUGUCUUGACCAAAUUACGUGCCAGCAGUCGCGGUAAUACGUAGAAGACUAGUGUUAUUCAUCUUUAAUAGGUUUAAAGGGUACCUAGACGGUAUAAUUAGUCUUAAAUAAGAAACGAUUAUACUAGAGUUAUAUAUGAGAAGGGGAGUAUUUAUGGAGUAAAGUUGAAAUUUUUUGAUCCCAUAGAGACUGGUAACGGCGAAGGCAACCUUUUAUCUAAUAACUGACGUUGAGGGACGAAGGCUCGGGUAGCGAACAGGAUUAGAUACCCUAGUAGUCCAAGCAGAUAAUGAUGAAUGCCAUAGAUUAGAUAUUUAUUUAGUCUAUAAAUGAAAGUGUAAGCAUUUCACCUCAAGAGUAAUGUGGCAACGCAGGAACUGAAAUCAUUAGACCGUUUCUGAAACCAGUAGUGAAGUAUGUUAUUUAAUUCGUAAGUACGCGAAAAACCUUACCACAACUUGAAUAUUAUCUCUAAGAUAUUACAAGCGUUGCACGGCUGUCUUCAGUUAAUGUCGUGAGAUAUUGGUUAAUUCCAUUAAAUUAACGGAAACCCUUGCUUUAUUUGCAAAUUUUAUAAAUAAAGCAGUUCACUUUUAUAUUGGAUAUGAUAACAGGGGCCAAGACAAGUCAUCAUGGCCUUAAUGUUGU